AAAGAAUGGAACUUGGAGCAGGGGUCCUAUAUGCACUUCUGUUGUUCUCGUUAUCUUGUCCCAACACCAGUGCAACUCCUGUCUUAAACAAAACAAUAAAAAAUUGCUAUCGACUGACAGCUGAACUAAACCGCUCUGCUCCUGUUGUACUACAGUUAUAUCUUUCUGCCCAAGGAUAUCCAUUUGAUAAUGCCCUUUCAAAAAAUGAAGCAUGCAAUGUUGAUAUAAACUGUCUUCCCAAAGGACGCCUGGAAAAUAUGGAGGAAAUUGAAAUGUUUAAGAAAAUAUUUAUUGGUGCACAACAGUUUAAACAACACUUGAAUAACACAAUUGUUCAGCAGAAGAAUCUGAACCCUUCAAGAAAAGAACUGCACGAUGAGCUUGAAUAUAUUCAAACACAACUCACGUCACUGGAAACAAACCUCCAGUCAAUCCUACACAUCAAAGGUUCUCACGUUCCCAGACAUUUAGAGUGUUCCGUAGAACAUAGUGAUAACCUGCUUCUACAGAAACGUCAAGGAUGUGCAAUUCUGACAAACUUUAAACGCUAUGUUGCGCAAGUGUUGAAACGUUUUCGUCAUUUAUCAAGGAACUUUUCCCAUUUGUCAAUUGCUAAACCAUAAAACUUCAGAAUACGAAAGUGGUUAUACUAUAGAACAGUCAUAGAGUUUUAAAGGGGAUUUGAGGGGGAAGUGUAUUACACAGAGACUAGUUGCCAAAGAAAGUGGUGGAAUCAGCUACAAGUAUUACAUUUAAGAGCUGUUUAGACAGGGGUGCUGAAGGGCCCGCUUCUGCAUUGUACCCCUCUGUGACUUUAUGAAUCUAAGUUGGCUUACACUGCAAAUUCCUGGACUGUAUGACUAAGGAGCCUGAAGGUAUUUCUCCUACAGAUUUAACCACACUUUUACAGCAUCAGUAUCAAUGGCUGGUUCCAAACCUUUCGAUGUUUCUCCCUGCAUUUGAUCAUUUUGUUCAGGAUGGGAACCUCAUCAGGGGUCACCCACAGAGUCUCUGUCUCUGGUUCACUGAGCCUCACAACCCACGUAGCAUUUAGUUAUUUAAAGUACUAAGGUAAUUUAUUGUAAAACUGAUUGUAAUAAAGAAAUCCUGCAAUGAUGGUGUAAGGGCGAGAACAUAGACCAAAGAAUGGAGGAGUUGCAAAAUGCAGAGCAGGAAGAGGUGCCUGGUAGUUCUGGCUGGACAAGUCCUCCCCUUCCAGAGAAAUGAAGUAAAAAUAAACAAGUUGAGCCAAUAUCACAGAUGCAUGAAUAACACAGACUGAGAAAUCAGGUUAUCUGACAUUGUAGAAUUCAACGUUGAGUCCAGAAAGGUGCAACAUGUCCAGACAGAACGUGAGGUUCUCUUCCCCAAGCUCGUGUUGGGCCUCAUUUUAACAGUGCAGGGGGCCACAGAGCAACAGGUCAGAGUGGGAGUGGGAUGGAGAAUUAAAGUGGCAGACAUCGGAAAGCUCGGGGUUGCCCCAGCAGACUGAACGCAAGUGUUCCGCAAAGUGAUCACCCAAUCUGUGGUUGUUUCCAACAAUACAGCCACCAGUGUAGAGGAGAUGACAUUGUGAGCACUGAAUGUAGUACGUUAGAUUGGAAGAAGCGCAAGUGAAUCACUGCUUCACCUGGGAAGACUGAGAAGACUGUGGUGGGAAGGGAAAAGGUGAAAGGACAACUGUUGCUUACAGUUGCAAGGGAGAUGUAUGGAGUGGUUGGUUGGGGGAAAUGGAAGUGUGGACCAGGGAGUUGCAAAGACAAUGGUCCUUGCAAAAUGCUGAAAGUGGAGGAGAGGGGAAGGUGUGUCUAGUUGUGGAAUCACUUUAAAGGUGGGGGAAAUUGCAGAGAAUGACCUAUUGUUUACGGAGGCUGGUGGGGUGGAAGGUGAGGACAAGGGGUACUCCAUCCUUGCUCUGUCCCAGAGGAGAGGAGGUGAGAGCAGAGAUAGAAGAGAUGUAAUCAAGAGCUUUGCCAACAAUUUCAGAGAUACCUGUACAGAAAAUUCUCAUUGUUGGAGCAAAUACAACGGAGGCAGAGGAACUGGGAGUCUUCACAGGAGGCAGGGUGGGAUGAAGUGUAGUCCAGAUAGCUGUGGGACUCAGUAGGUUUGUAAUGCAUAUCAGCAGCUGGGUCCACCCCCUGUGAUGGACAGCGAGAUAUGCAGAAAAGGAUCAGAGAUUGCGCACAUGUAGGUGACGGCUGGGGAAUAUUUACCAUAACUGAAUAUAUUUCAAUCUUACAGACAGAAGUUAACUUAAUUUAUAUUUUUUGAAUUAAUUUAUUUCAACCAAUAUAAUAAAAAACUUGAACUGAA
This is a long non-coding RNA of Pristis pectinata (smalltooth sawfish), 2316 nucleotides long. RefSeq lists it as uncharacterized. The record is from RefSeq and is a predicted model, not a curated record. Lineage: Eukaryota; Metazoa; Chordata; Chondrichthyes; Rhinopristiformes; Pristidae. The transcript has 3 exons.